GGAGAAACUAACGUUUCCUUCUUCCUUUUGGGAAGUCCUAGGUUUGAAAUGCCCUGGAUUUGAGCCACAUUACCCCUCAGGGACUAGCCCUGAAAAAGACCACAUUGUAGACAGCUGCGGCAAUGCGCAGUCACUACUCAACCUUUCUCUCUCACUCAAAUCCGGGAUCCUGAAGUAAUCAGAAAUAGAUUCUUGUCAAUUGGUCUUACUGGCAUAAAUGUUAGAGAUCAGAAUACAUUUUAAAAGAGCUUCAGUGAUAGUAUGUGGUACUUCCAAAGUUUUCAAAACCUAAAGACUAGACAGGCAGAAUAACAACUUGUUUGUUCAUUUGUUUGUUUGUUUUGAGACAGAGUGUUGUUCUGUCACCCAGGCUGAAGUGCAGUGGCUCAAUCUCAACUCACUGAAACCUCUACUUGUUGGGUUCAAGCGAUUCUCCUGCCACAGCCUCCCCAGUAGCUGGGACUACAGGUGUGCCCCAUGACACUUGGCUAAUUUUUUUGUAUUUUUAGUAGAGAUGGGGUUUCGCCAUGUUGGCCAAGCUAGUCCGGAACUCCUGAUCUCCGAUGAUCCAUCCACUUUGGCCUCCCAAAGUGCUGGAAAUACAAGUGUGAGCCACUAUACCCAGCCAGAAUAACAACCUUCUAAAGAAGUCUUUCUUUUUCUCUCUUUACAGGAUUUGGGAGACAUCGUGGCAAGAACACUGCAGAAAUCCUGUUCCUGAGUCUGCAAAUGGCCCCAGACCAGGAUGGGAGCUGCCCAGAGUGGUCUUGGGCUGGACUGAGUCCUGGCAUCCAAAGAGGGAGGCUUAUGUGACUGCCUCCACUAUCCAAAAGUUCUGGGUGCAGACAAAGGGAGCACAGAGCUGCUGGAAGCCCAGUGGGAAGGCACAUCUAAGAGCAGUGAGCUCUGGAAUGCUACAGGCAUGUGUGGAUAACUGCAGCUCCAUGGCGGCCAAGGAGAUAUCUGCGCCUGAGUAAGGUCACCUGACCACAGACAGCACCAGGGGCUGGGGGGCUAAGACGGAGAUCUUGAGAAGGCUGGACCUGAGCUAAAGUUGUAACUUAGAUGGUGAUCUGAAUAAGGAAAAAAAGAAUAAAGGCUGGAAGUCAAACCCAUUGUUUAGGGUACAGAAGUAUACAGCUAAGUUCCAGGUGUCCAGACCAUAGCACAAGGAGAACAGGAAUUCUCUUGAGUUAAGGCAAAAUCAAUCUUCACCCAUCUGGGAUCUUCCAUUGCAUGAUGUGGAAAGGAAACUACUAGGCAGAGGUCAUUUCUCUCCCCACCUCCUGCUACUGCCAGUGAAGACUCUGAAAGCUUCUGCAGGCCCAGGCCAGAAUGGUGUUGCCAGCCCACAGUGGCGGGCCCUGGGAACGGUCGGUGUGACCAGCUCUGGUA
This 1395-nucleotide long non-coding RNA is filed under the name Callithrix jacchus (white-tufted-ear marmoset). Its description in RNAcentral is "lncRNA (ENSCJAG00000075409.1)". Lineage: Eukaryota; Metazoa; Chordata; Mammalia; Primates; Cebidae. The record is from RNAcentral.